Molecule: long non-coding RNA, 533 nt
Filed under: Mytilus galloprovincialis (Mediterranean mussel)
Lineage: Eukaryota; Metazoa; Mollusca; Bivalvia; Mytilida; Mytilidae
Source: RNAcentral
CUACAUUUCAAUAUUGGAAAGUUUUUUAAACCUACUAAAUUUUUUAGAAAAUUUGCCAAAACCUAUCUAAGCUGUAGCUUUAAGUUUAAGCAUUUGUUACUGCUUUCAUUUUUGCGACAAAAAAAUACUACAUUGUAAUCUUGGCACCUCAAAGUUAAGCUGUGGUGUUGAAUUUUACUAAAGGUUGAUAGAUUUUUUUUCGCAAAAAUAUGUUGUAAGAUAAUGCCGGGGAAAACCUUUUUAGUAUCAAUGAGUUUAAUCUCACUGUUUACAAUCAACUUUAUUUCUCUUAUCGAAGUUGAUUGUUUCUUUUUGAAUGGCGCAUUUUAAAAUUGUUUGAUUCUAUUCGCUGUUUCUAAAUUCUUGUUAUUUUAUUUAUAUGUUAAAUGAUUUUCCUGUUGAAAUUCCGUAGUUUACUUCCUUUUAAAAAUAAAUCCUAUGGUGCUUGUCUAUACAAACAUGAAGUUCUAACCAUAUGCCUCGCCUGAAAUUCAAAAGAAUGUACGUCAAACGUAUUUUUGAACAUGUAGACC